Molecule: transfer RNA, 17 nt
Filed under: Thunnus tonggol (longtail tuna)
Lineage: Eukaryota; Metazoa; Chordata; Actinopteri; Scombriformes; Scombridae
Description: partial tRNA-Thr
Source: RNAcentral
UAAUCCUCCCUUUUGCU